UGUCAUGGCCACGGCUGCCCCGGGCCAGCUCCUGCCGGCUGGCAAACCCAAAAGACCCCCCAGUUAAGGCAGGAGCAAAGUUAAGGGACCACCUGAAGACCAGUAAGUCACUGACACAUUUUGCAUGCCUCCCUGCAUAGAUUUCAAGCUGAAACAGCUGCUCAAGUAACCCUCCUGGCUGAGGUCUUCAAAAAAGGCUUUAAGUUGAGAACUGGGGACAAGCUGCUGCUGAGAAAUGGUCCCUGACCUCUGCUGUAGCUGUUGUGGGUCCAGCUGCUGAGUAUUGCUGAAGCUCAGGGACACUGUUGGCUGCUGUAAGAUCAUCUGGAAAAGAAUAGGGGAGGAUUUAUAUACAUAGCCCAGAUGUUCUGAAUAAUGAAUGUGACAAAAGUAAAUCCAAAGAUAUAUACUAAAAUAAAGUUACCACAUUUCUGGA
Long non-coding RNA from Vidua chalybeata, 436 nucleotides. RefSeq lists it as uncharacterized. NCBI's taxonomy places the organism in Eukaryota, Metazoa, Chordata, Aves, Passeriformes, Viduidae. The record is from RefSeq and is a predicted model, not a curated record. The transcript has 3 exons.